Molecule: long non-coding RNA, 759 nt
Organism: Cyprinus carpio carpio
Lineage: Eukaryota; Metazoa; Chordata; Actinopteri; Cypriniformes; Cyprinidae
Source: Ensembl
CUAAUGUUAACAAAUACAACUUUUGACUUUAAUUUAAGAACAGCUAGUGCGACUAACCGUGUUAAGAGACGUUUGUAUUCUCGAAAAAUAAUUGUCAUUUGUUUUUGAUUAUUGAUAAAUCAAGACCUAAACUUGCGGUGGUGAUGACGUCAGUAACCCGCGCCAUGCAGAAGUUUUGAAGCCAUCUUUCGCAUUACCUUUUGGCACGCCCCCUACCUUUCGUUUCACCAAUGAGAAGCCUUUUGGCACGCCCCACACCUUUCGGCACGCCCCCACCUUUUGGCACGCCCAUUGCUCCAGGCUGCAGUUACCCCUACUUGACGCAAACCCCUGAUCCCCGACGGAAGAACAACACGCACUGAGGAAAAGAUUCUUACCGUGGAGGUGAAGAAAGGCUGGAAGGAAGGAACCAAGAUUACUUUCCCCAAGGAAGGUGAUGAGAUGCCAACAAACAUCCCCGCAGAUGUGGUGUUUAUGGUGAAAGAUAAACCACAUCCCGUCUACAAACGAGAUGGAUCGGACAUAAUUUAUCCUGCAAAAAUUUGUUCCACCCAUGAACUCAGCAGCUGAUUUCACCAGAGGAGAAACCAAGUCAUUCCUUCCAAGUCACAAACUAGUCUCAAGUUAAAUCCCAAGUCCUCAAAGAGUUAAAGUUAAUGAGAUAAUUAAAUGACUAAUUAAAUGAUGAUUGUGCAAUAGUGAUGGACACCUGCUGUUAUUGAAAAUUACAGAGGAUCAGAUGUUGAUGUUUUAUUGGUU